RNAcentral lists this ribosomal RNA (301 nucleotides) under uncultured bacterium. RNAcentral's name for it is "partial 16S ribosomal RNA". It matches the Rfam family "Bacterial small subunit ribosomal RNA", at positions 509 to 807 of the family's 1533-position model. The record is from RNAcentral.
CAGCCGCCACGGGAAUACAGAGGGUGCGAGCGUUAAUCGGAUUUACUGGGCGUAAAGCGUGCGUAGGCGGCUUUUUAAGUCGGAUGUGAAAUCCCUGAGCUUAACUUAGGAAUUGCAUUCGAUACUGGGAAGCUAGAGUAUGGGAGAGGAUGGUAGAAUUCCAGGUGUAGCGGUAAAAUGCGUAGAGAUCUGGAGGAAUACCGAUGGCGAAGGCAGCCAUCUGGCCUAAUACUGACGCUGAGGUACGAAAGCAUGGGGAGCAAACAGGAUUAGAUACCCCUGUAGUCCCUGUCUCUUAUAC